Molecule: transfer RNA, 72 nt
Filed under: Ovis aries (sheep)
Lineage: Eukaryota; Metazoa; Chordata; Mammalia; Artiodactyla; Bovidae
Rfam family: tRNA
About the family: Transfer RNA (tRNA) molecules are approximately 80 nucleotides in length. Their secondary structure includes four short double-helical elements and three loops (D, anti-codon, and T loops). Further hydrogen bonds mediate the characteristic L-shaped molecular structure. tRNAs have two regions of fundamental functional importance: the anti-codon, which is responsible for specific mRNA codon recognition, and the 3' end, to which the tRNAs corresponding amino acid is attached (by aminoacyl-tRNA synthetases). tRNAs cope with the degeneracy of the genetic code in two manners: having more than one tRNA (with a specific anti-codon) for a particular amino acid; and 'wobble' base-pairing, i.e. permitting non-standard base-pairing at the 3rd anti-codon position.
Source: Rfam by way of RNAcentral
UCCCUUAUGCCUUAGUUGGUAAAGAAUCUGCCUGCAGUGCAGGAGACCUGGGUUCGAUCCCUGGGAUGGGAA